Molecule: non-coding RNA, 540 nt
Organism: Struthio camelus australis
Lineage: Eukaryota; Metazoa; Chordata; Aves; Struthioniformes; Struthionidae
Source: RefSeq, a predicted model, not a curated record
ACAGAAAGAACCAGGCUCCUUUCUGCACUUCUCUUCCACGUGGAUUCUUUCAGCCUGUUUUCAGCAUUGCCUGAUCUUUCCCAGCCAGCUUUGAUGAUCAGACAAGCUUCAAGUGCAUCAAUGGAGAAUAUGUUGGAUACUUCUUAAAACCGAUGCGCUAAGAUGUGAUAUCAGAAAUACAGUGCAAAACCAUUGGCUUUACCUGCCUAUACCUCUGCUCAAGCUGAUCCUAAAGGACGUACAGGAGGAGCAUUCAGAAGGAAGUAAAUGACUUCCUGCUACUGUAAGCUUUUCCUGGUUUCUGGAGAUUAUCCCUGCCUCUAAUCUUCUCUUCUUUUGCUGCUUUGGGAAUAAAGUAAACAGUUACACUAUCUGAAGCACUGGAGAUUAGCUGAAACUCCAUCCAGUGUCUGCCUCAAUGUACUUUGUCUAGUGUGUCUGUAAAGUGCCUUUAUCUGCAGGGUUUUAGAAACUGCUCGGGCUUUUUCAAAGCUGACAAAAUCGCAGGCCACUUCCAGAGGGCGGAACGGCUGCGCUGCA